RNAcentral lists this transfer RNA (67 nucleotides) under Cordylochernes scorpioides. Its description in RNAcentral is "tRNA-Thr". It matches the Rfam family "tRNA". Rfam says of the family: Transfer RNA (tRNA) molecules are approximately 80 nucleotides in length. The record is from RNAcentral. Lineage: Eukaryota; Metazoa; Arthropoda; Arachnida; Pseudoscorpiones; Chernetidae.
GUAGCCUAGUGGACAUGGCAUCUGCCCGGUAAGCGGAACGUUGUGGGUUCGAUUCCCGCCCUGGACA